ACUGCACUAAAAUUUUUGGAG
RNAcentral lists this microRNA (21 nucleotides) under Monodelphis domestica (gray short-tailed opossum). RNAcentral describes it as "mdo-miR-7262c-3p". Lineage: Eukaryota; Metazoa; Chordata; Mammalia; Didelphimorphia; Didelphidae. The record is from miRBase by way of RNAcentral.